GUAGGUGAACCUGCAGAAGGAUCAUUAGUGAAGAUUUGGGCAGGCCAUACGGACGCCACAAAGUGUCCCUGGCCGCCUACACCCACUAUACAUCCACAAACCCGUGUGCACUGUCCUUGGAAAGGGCAUUUGGAGAGAAAAAGGAGGAGAAGCGAGAACAGUGCGAUCCGUCGCGUUGGGCGUUGAUCUCUGACUUGGUCUCUCUGAGGCCCUCUCCUCGCUACAAACUCGAAUGGUUAGUAUGAACGUGGAACUUGGUUGGACCGUCACUGGCCAACAAACUAUACACAACUUUCGACAACGGAUCUCUUGGUUCUC
This 318-nucleotide unclassified non-coding RNA is filed under the name rhizosphere metagenome. RNAcentral's name for it is "partial ribosomal RNA internal transcribed spacer region". The record is from RNAcentral.